RNAcentral lists this ribosomal RNA (252 nucleotides) under Romboutsia timonensis. RNAcentral describes it as "partial 16S ribosomal RNA". It matches the Rfam family "Bacterial small subunit ribosomal RNA", at positions 524 to 776 of the family's 1533-position model. The record is from RNAcentral. Lineage: Bacteria; Bacillati; Bacillota; Clostridia; Peptostreptococcales; Peptostreptococcaceae.
UACGUAGGGGGCUAGCGUUAUCCGGAAUUACUGGGCGUAAAGUGUGCGUAGGUGGUUUCUUAAGUCAGAGGUGAAAGGCUACGGCUCAACCGUAGUAAGCCUUUGAAACUGGGAAACUUGAGUGCAGGAGAGGAGAGUGGAAUUCCUAGUGUAGCGGUGAAAUGCGUAGAUAUUAGGAGGAACACCAGUUGCGAAGGCGGCUCUCUGGACUGUAACUGACACUGAGGCACGAAAGCGUGGGGAGCAAACAGG